AUGCCACGUAGCAGCACACCAGGCAGAACAAACUCACUGCCGUCGCAGGGGCACGGACACGCGCACCGACACUGCUCGUCUUCAUCCUAUCGCCGUCCCCGAUCUCUAUCUCUCUUCGACUCCUCCCGCCACCUUCAUCACCGAUCCCCGGGCUUAUCUUUCCCCCACGUCACUCAAGAACGCUGCGACACCUCGAUCCUUUGGCCUUUAGCAUCUCCGACCCACCAGCACACCUAUAAAUCGCGUCGCCCGGUGGCAAGGAAGGCAUAUUCGUCCACAGAGGAACCGGAAGAGAGGGAUAGAGGUGAGAGGAUUUGGAGCUCGUCGGAGCUCUCUCUCCUGGACCGUCCGCGAUUGUACUACAUGGGGAUGAAACAGUCGACGAUGACUGCGUCCGGCGGCGGCGCCAAGAGGGCCCUCCGCCGACUGCCGCACGUGUACAAAAAGGUGCUCGAGCUGCCACCGGUGGGCGCUAACGUCAGGGCGUUCGAGGGCACCACCGCGCUCCACUUCUUCGCGGCCUGCGUCCCCAUGGGUGAGGUGAGGGCGUGCCUCGUGAGGAUUUACCCCGGGGUCGUCAAGGUGGUGGUGGUGCAUGCUGGGACAGGAGACGACGAGGAUGGCGAUGACAUGGAGCUUGAUAGGUGGAGGUACCAGCUGCCUGAAGACUGUUGCCCGGAGCUGGCUAUGGCUGGCUAUGUCGACUGACACCUUAUCGUGACGGUGCCCAAGGGCCGCGGCGAAGGCGGUGAUGGGGCUCGGAGGUGCUGCAAUGGAGCAGCAGGGGAGAUUGGUGGGAAGCUCGUGGCCGUGCAAUUGAACCAGUGGGGUACUAGUGAGCGAGUGUGA
RNAcentral lists this ribosomal RNA (849 nucleotides) under Triticum aestivum (bread wheat). RNAcentral describes it as "partial small subunit ribosomal RNA". The record is from RNAcentral. Lineage: Eukaryota; Viridiplantae; Streptophyta; Magnoliopsida; Poales; Poaceae.